GGGGAAUAUUGGACAAUGGGCGCAAGCCUGAUCCAGCCAUGCCGCGUGGGUGAAGAAGGCCUUCGGGUUGUAAAGCCCUUUUGUUGGGAAAGAAAAGCAGCCGGCCAAUACCCGGUUGUUCUGACGGUACCCAAAGAAUAAGCACCGGCUAACUUCGUGCCAGCAGCCGCGGUAAUACGAAGGGUGCAAGCGUUACUCGGAAUUACUGGGCGUAAAGCGUGCGUAGGUGGUGGUUUAAGUCCGUUGUGAAAGCCCUGGGCUCAACCUGGGAACUGCGGUGGAUACGGAUCCACUAGGGGGUGGAUGGGGGAGGUGAAUUCCCCGGUGAGGCGGUGAAAUGCGUGGGGAUCGGGAGAAACAUAGGGGGCGAGGGCACCUGCCUGGGCAACCACUGACACUGAGCCACAAAAGCGUGGGAGCAAACA
RNAcentral lists this ribosomal RNA (425 nucleotides) under uncultured Lysobacteraceae bacterium. RNAcentral describes it as "bacterial SSU rRNA". It matches the Rfam family "Bacterial small subunit ribosomal RNA", at positions 356 to 774 of the family's 1533-position model. The record is from RNAcentral. Lineage: Bacteria; Pseudomonadati; Pseudomonadota; Gammaproteobacteria; Lysobacterales; Lysobacteraceae.